AAAUAUACUAAUUAAACUGUCCUAAUGUCUACAAUUAAAUUUUUCGUUUCUGCUGGAACUAGAUUUUGUCAAGUAAAAUUACAUAGUGCGUUUGAAUCAGCGCAUGCGCAUUGGGACAAACGAAAGAACCGCGCAGAUGUCCAUUGUCCGUUCGUUGGCAGCAGACAGAGUUGUGAAUAUCUCCGGAAUCUCUCAGGCGACUGUUUUUGUAUUUAGCCGGCUGGGACAUGAGGUGACCAGAGAGUCAGGAGCGCUGGGCUGUUCAGUGACUAAUCAAAUACUGCACCGUUGUGAUUAGGCAAGUACAAAUACACUGCAUGUAUGCAUGACACAAUUUUGCUGUUUUUAUUGUUCAUCCAUUCUACAGUUCAGAUCAAGAUCUACAGAUCAAGGAGGAGUUUUGGAGAAUAACUACAAUUUCUCUAGAGCAAAGCUUCAUGUACAAACUAGACCACUAUACACCAAAGCUUACUGCCCUGAUGAAAGCCAAGGGAGGUGUUGUGGGGACCAGGCUGAGGCCCCAUCUGGAUAAACUGAGUCAGAACCCAAGCACUGACAUGAGACGUGACGCAGUAAUCCGUGGCCUCAUACUAUUCCUUGGUGAAAAAGAAGAGAAACUUUUCGAAGAUUGCCUGGAGGACAAUCGCAGUGAUGCCACUCAACACAUAGUCAAGAUCCUGGUUGUCCAUGGUACUGAUGGAGAAGAACCAGUAGAUGUUUCCAUCAUUCUUGAAGGGAAGGAGGUAUUGACAGGAUGC
Molecule: long non-coding RNA, 758 nt
Organism: Gasterosteus aculeatus aculeatus (three-spined stickleback)
Lineage: Eukaryota; Metazoa; Chordata; Actinopteri; Perciformes; Gasterosteidae
Source: Ensembl